RNAcentral lists this long non-coding RNA (615 nucleotides) under Anser brachyrhynchus (Pink-footed goose). RNAcentral describes it as "lncRNA (ENSABRG00000010104.1)". The record is from RNAcentral. Lineage: Eukaryota; Metazoa; Chordata; Aves; Anseriformes; Anatidae.
GGGAGGGAAGGGUCUGGUUACUACGAGCACUUUUUGUUCAUUAAACUUGAGCUGCAAGAACUAAUUUGCCUUUUGGGCAAGCUCUCUGAAUACAAAGCUGCGCCUUGUCCUGUCGGGCACAGGCAGUGCUACCAGCGCUUCAGCAUUGGAGGCUGCAGUGGCAUGGCCUCAGCUGGCAGGCAAAGCUAGGCCUUGCUUUGCCCGGCCUGGUGCAGGAGCUUUGAUUUGACAUGUGGCAGCACAUUUGUAUUGCUAUCACCUCCCUCACCUACUGCUGCUGGCACUGAGGUCGCAGUGAAGCACCUCAUGUUUUAUUGGGAAAAUCCUGCUGCUGCUUUUAAAGGGUUCUGAUGUUUAAAACGAGGCAGCGGUGGAACCUGUUUUAAAUAUGUAACAGUCUCGGAAAGGAGCAGUCUAAUCACUUCAUUAUCCAACACAGAAGAAAAUGGUUUGAAACCCAAACUUGGGAGACGGGGGCUUGGAGGAACCUUCUACAACAAGACAUUGCCAGCAUUAACCCUGGCUCUCUCACCGAGACAUGGACGCUAAUUUAUGGCAGCUGCUGGAUGAUAAACCUAGAGAUGGAAGGAAGAACCCACACAAAGGGAAAUGGAG